This 266-nucleotide ribosomal RNA is filed under the name uncultured bacterium. RNAcentral describes it as "partial 16S ribosomal RNA". It matches the Rfam family "Bacterial small subunit ribosomal RNA", at positions 524 to 787 of the family's 1533-position model. The record is from RNAcentral.
UACAGAGGGGGCAAGCGUUGUUCGGAAUUACUGGGCGUAAAGGGCUCGUAGGUGGCCAACUAAGUCAGACGUGAAAUCCCUCGGCUUAACCGGGGAACUGCGUCUGAUACUGGAUGGCUAGAGUUUGGGAGAGGGAUGCGGAAUUCCAGGUGUAGCGGUGAAAUGCGUAGAUAUCUGGAGGAAUACCGGUGGCGAAGGCGGCAUCCUGGACCGACAUUGACGCUGAGGAGCGAAAGCUAGGGGAGCAAACGGGGAUUAAGCAAACC